Non-coding RNA from Peromyscus maniculatus bairdii (prairie deer mouse), 2000 nucleotides. NCBI's taxonomy places the organism in Eukaryota, Metazoa, Chordata, Mammalia, Rodentia, Cricetidae. The record is from RefSeq and is a predicted model, not a curated record.
AGUCUCAUUAAGUUGCCCAAUUGGUCUUGAACUUGCAAUGCUCUUGCCUCCUCAGUAGCAGAUAUUACAGAUAUAUGCUGCUAGGAACCACCCAAAAACACGAUCACGGACUUCAGAACUGUACCACAGAAGAGCCUCCGAGUUCUCCAGCUAACCCCUCCUUGGACCCUCCCCCAAACUUCGGGCCUGUUGACUUGGGUGGAGUGCCAGCCAGCCUGGUCUGGUCUAGCUCAUGGCUGAGCCCUUUGGAGCUCAGUAGCUCAGCAGUAUGGUGUCAGGACUGAUCUGGAUGCUAUCAGAUGAGUGAUUAUUUGCAUCCCCAAAGAAGAGCAUGGGACUUGGGGGACUGUCUCUCACCAGCACUCUAACUGAAUGACCUUGGAUAAGACAGCUCACCCCUCAGCCACAAACACCACAAGCUUAAUGGGAUUACAGGAAUUAAGCAUGUAGAAUUCUCAGAAAAGCGCCUGGCACUAUCUGCUGUUCCAUCAUUAUUCAACCACCAAAAGUCAGGAAUGACGAGAACCUUGACCACCCCUGCCUCAGUUGCCCGUGAAAUGUGCAGACCCAGGCCAGACCAGAUAGAGGUACAGACCAGAUGUGCACACUAGUUGGCUAUGUAGAAGACAGACCUAAGGCCCAGGAGCCAUUGCUGCUGCGCACAUGGUAUUGCCUGGAAACUCCCUCGAAGCUGGCCUCUGCUCCUGCCCUCACUAUGGCCACAGAGGGACUGACCAGCUUUCACACAGAUUUGCCUGCCAUCCCUGACAGUCUGGCUGGCAUCUGCUAGUGAGACUUGAGCGGAUGUGGUCAGGGCAGCCAGUGGGCGGGCUGGGGUGGAGGCUGUUGGCUUUAUCAUACCGGCUGAGACACUUUGCCACAUGGCUGGAUUGUGGCAAUACUAGAAAGCCUCCAAGCAGAGGAGGCUCCUGCCCACGGCAGCCAGGGCAGGUGUGUUUCCUGGGGCUAUGGUAAUUCCCUUGCCCACCCCCACUUCCACAAGUCAAAUGGCCUUUCCAGGAACCCUGGGGUGGGGUUGAGGCGGGACUCCUCCUGAUACUGCUAGCCCUGGGGCAAUGUGUGCUCUUGACCCCAGCUGGGAGCAAAGGAGGCCAGGUGUCAGGGCUGGAAGGCAGGCCCGGGUGGCUGUGACAAUUUACCCUCUAGACCCCCUCCUCCAGAUUGCUGGGACAGUCUCCCACUCACAGGGCAGUUCUGAGGACUCAAAGUUAGGGGGAGGGGGAGGCUGCAGCCAGCACUCUCAGCAGCAUGCCAAGGUGGGUGGCUCCUCUCCGCUGCCCUGGGGGUAGAGGCCACAGAGGGUGGCCCAGGGUAGCAGAGGCUCCCCAUCACUCUUGGAUUCUGCUAAAAGAUGAGCAGCCUGUGGUUACUAAAGAAUUAACUGCUGGCUCUGGCCAGGGUCCCAGAAGUGGAAGUGUGGCUGUGAGGUCUGGGAAGUCCCGCUGCCCUGGUGUGGUGAUGGGGUUCAUCUUUUCAAAGACAGAGAAGAUGCUUCCCAGGGGGCCCAUGCUAAGACAGAUGCACACCUCCAGGGAUGUCCCUUGUCCCCCCACUUCCUGAGAGUGCCGUGCUAGGUUCCAGUCUCCUAAGUUCCUGCCGGGUUUUGAGAUGGGUCAUACCUGCAUGGGAGUGCUCCAGAGAUUUGCUCAUAGACGGACCAGGAUGAGGCCAGAUGUAGGGGUGAUUAUCUGUGCUUCAACCCCAGAAGCAUCACCCCUAGCAGGCAGGAAGCAGGUGACUUCUAGGUACCUGCCCCUGCCCGGGGCGUGGCCGAGACAGGGACCCCUUAGACCUGAAAUGCUUAAAUGCUUGCUCCCUCUUGGCUACCUCAUGAUCCCAGAUGCUGGAUGCUGGUACUGCAGACCAAAUCAGAGUUCUCCAGAGAACCACGUUGGACCAGGCCUCACCUCUCCUGGAUUUCCUGUAACCAACUCCCUUUGCUUGUUGUAAAUAAACUCAAAAUAAACCCCUUUUGACUA